GGUCCCACAUUUGCACUUAUUGCCCGUGACUCUCUCUCUCUCUCUCUCCAAUCUCUCCCUUUUUUUUAGCCCUCAGAUGAUUUAAAAUAAGAGGAAAUUAAAAUAGUCAACUUUUGGUUUCACGUUUACAAAAAUGUCACUUUUUAAAAAAAUUUUGUAAAAUUUCUCUUUUCUCUUUUAUUCUUUUCUAUGUUUCCUCUCUUGAUUUUUUGAAAAUUAGAUGGAGUGCAAGUUCUUGCAUUAGGAUCUCGUAUAUUACGUCAAUACAGAAGGAAGAAGAAUAUCGUAGGUAAGGUUUCAAAUCUAUGAGUUUUUUUAGAUUGAUUGAAGGUUUUGUUUGAAGUUUUCUAUUAAUGUUCAUUUUUUUUUUUUUUGUCUUUCUAUUAGAUUGCACAAUCAAUUUUUGAGUUUCCUACAUCUAGACCGUGAGUUAGAUUGUUCUCCAUUUUGGGUUCGGCUUUGUUUAGAGUGUAAAUUUACAGGUAAUUUGAAUUUCUCCAUUUUUUUGGGCAUUUUGAUUUUUUCUAAUUUUUUUUGGGUAUUAUGAAUAAAUUUUUUUUUAUAUUUUUCUAAAAAAAAAUUUCACAUUCUGUCAAUUUUUUACUUUAUAUUUCUCUGAAUUUGUUUGGUUUGUGAAAGAUGAUUGUUGUAUUAUACUUGUCAUUCCAGCCUAUCUUAUUUAUUAUAUUUUUCUAGAUUAGGUAUGGAUAUGGAAUCUUUUAAACGAACUGUUUAAUUUGUCAUAAUGAAAGUUUGUACAGUUAUGAAUGCUCAACACAAGAACUUCUAGAAAGAUCAGUUAUGUAACCCAUGUGUCGCGAUAAACUAUCGUUCCCGACAAUUAGUUACAGUCAUUCUAUACAGAUGAGUUAUCUUUCGAUAUAAACUGUCAUUCUCGAAGUUAAAGGCAGUAUUUCUGAAACAUUACAGGGUGUUUUUUUUAUUUCUUAUACGUGUAUUCAGCAUUAACAUCUGAAAAAUUCAAAAUUUUAAAUACACUCGUCUCAUUUUUAAUAUGCAAACUAGAAAUAUUGAAUUCAUGUCCAUUAGUAUUGUAAUUAUUGUUUUCAAUUAGAUGAAGGAUGGAUCAACUCGUGCUCCGAUAAUCAUGAGGGUCUAUUGUCUAGUGAGAACUAAGAGGCGAACAGUAUGUGUGUUAAUUAAGAGGAAUUUAAAUUUUUAAAUACUCUAAUAUCAUUCCGUAAUUUGCAAACUAGAAAUAAUGAACUCAUGUCGGUUAGUGUUGCAAAUGUCGUUUUCAAAUAAAUGGAGAACCCAUAGAGUUCAAAGUGUCAUGUCCGAACAAUGAGAAAGUUCCCUCAACUUGUAGCUUGAUAGAGGCGGCCACCAUACCUAUCGAAAGUAACGAUAUUGUUAGCACAAAGAGCAAUUAUCAAUACACAUUCGAUUUUAUGCAGCCUCUACUAGGACUCCAUAUACCAAGGAGAGGAGAAAAAGAAUAAAGAAAUAGUGUGACCAACUUUGUUAAUGCUACAUUAGAAUUGAUUUGUGAAAUAAAUGACCUCAUUUUGGUUACCUCCAAGAAUGUGAUUAUAAACAUGAUUUAGUGGUUGCAUUCACAUGUGGUGACACAUUUUAUCAUUUCUUGUUUCUCAUACUCGUUGAAUUGUUCAAUUAGCACGAGAAAAUUUUGUCAAGGAUAAAUAUAGCAAUGUCUUUACCAAAUGUUAUGCAACAGUUUACCCUUGUACAUCUUAUUUGUAGUUACAUUUUCUGCUCGCAACUAAGUGUCGAGAAUGACAGAAACCUCCUAUCGGGACCGAUAGUUUAACUGUCAGGAUGUUAUGCAAUGUUUGCAAAUGAUAAUAAAAUACUAAUAAUAAUGUAAGUUGAGAAUAUGUUCGAGAACAACAUGUCC
RNAcentral lists this long non-coding RNA (1879 nucleotides) under Olea europaea (common olive). RNAcentral describes it as "long non-coding RNA (OEUR_LNC004294)". The record is from RNAcentral. Lineage: Eukaryota; Viridiplantae; Streptophyta; Magnoliopsida; Lamiales; Oleaceae.